This is a non-coding RNA of Pelobates cultripes (western spadefoot toad), 217 nucleotides long. The record is from the annotation of a GenBank genome assembly. Lineage: Eukaryota; Metazoa; Chordata; Amphibia; Anura; Pelobatidae.
CUUACUGUCCCAAACAAUGUUAUUUGUUAAACAUUUCAAACCCAGCUACAUUGCCAGCUUGGCUGUUUUGGCCUAGAAAUGCAUUUCGCUGGUCAGUAACUGAAAAUUUCCAAUACAGUGAGUAACACAGAAAAGCUGCUAUACUCUGCAUGAUUUGUAAGUCACUGUAAUUGAAAGGCACAACCUUUCAACAAUGUAUACAUUAGAUCCACAUUCA